Molecule: ribosomal RNA, 615 nt
Filed under: uncultured Staphylococcus sp.
Lineage: Bacteria; Bacillati; Bacillota; Bacilli; Caryophanales; Staphylococcaceae
Description: bacterial SSU rRNA
Rfam family: Bacterial small subunit ribosomal RNA
Source: RNAcentral
GUCGAGCGAACAGACGAGGAGCUUGCUCCUCUGACGUUAGCGGCGGACGGGUGAGUAACACGUGGAUAACCUACCUAUAAGACUGGGAUAACUUCGGGAAACCGGAGCUAAUACCGGAUAAUAUAUUGAACCGCAUGGUUCAAUAGUGAAAGACGGUUUUGCUGUCACUUAUAGAUGGAUCCGCGCCGCAUUAGCUAGUUGGUAAGGUAACGGCUUACCAAGGCAACGAUGCGUAGCCGACCUGAGAGGGUGAUCGGCCACACUGGAACUGAGACACGGUCCAGACUCCUACGGGAGGCAGCAGUAGGGAAUCUUCCGCAAUGGGCGAAAGCCUGACGGAGCAACGCCGCGUGAGUGAUGAAGGUCUUCGGAUCGUAAAACUCUGUUAUUAGGGAAGAACAAAUGUGUAAGUAACUAUGCACGUCUUGACGGUACCUAAUCAGAAAGCCACGGCUAACUACGUGCCAGCAGCCGCGGUAAUACGUAGGUGGCAAGCGUUAUCCGGAAUUAUUGGGCGUAAAGCGCGCGUAGGCGGUUUUUUAAGUCUGAUGUGAAAGCCCACGGCUCAACCGUGGAGGGUCAUUGGAAACUGGAAAACUUGAGUGCAGAAGAGGA